GCCCUGGUAGUGUAGCCUGGAUCAGCGUUUUAAGGCUGAAAUGCUGUAGGAACUAUCAUGAAGCCCUGUCGAGGCUUCGACCCGGGUUCAAAACCAAAAUUUUCAUAAAUGAAAAUUUUGCCAUUAACUUUUAACUUUAUCAACGUUAUUGGCAAAAAUUUGUUUUGCUCAAAGAAAAACAAAUUUUUGGGGUGAAAGUCCCGGCCAGGGCG
Molecule: transfer RNA, 212 nt
Filed under: Candidatus Woesearchaeota archaeon
Lineage: Archaea; Nanobdellati; Candidatus Woesearchaeota
Description: tRNA-Asp
Source: RNAcentral